GGACUACACGGGUUUCUAAUCCCGUUCGCUCCCCUGGCUUUCGCGCCUCAGCGUCAGAAAAGGUCCAGCAGUCCGCUUUCGCCACCGGCGUUCCUUCCGAUAUCAACGCAUUUCACCGCUCCACCGGAAGUUCCGACUGCCCCUACCCCACUCAAGACCUCCAGUAUCCAAGGCACUUUUCCGGUUAAGCCGAAAGCUUUCACCUCGGACUGAGAGGCCCGCCUACGCGCCCUUUAAGCCCAGUGAUUCCGAACAACGUUCGCACGGUUCGUCUUACCGCGGCGGCUGGCAC
Molecule: ribosomal RNA, 292 nt
Filed under: uncultured Planctomycetota bacterium
Lineage: Bacteria; Pseudomonadati; Planctomycetota
Description: uncultured planctomycete partial 16S ribosomal RNA
Source: RNAcentral